Molecule: ribosomal RNA, 253 nt
Filed under: uncultured bacterium
Lineage: Bacteria
Description: partial 16S ribosomal RNA
Rfam family: Bacterial small subunit ribosomal RNA
Source: RNAcentral
UACGUAGGUGACCAGCGUUGUCCGGAUUUACUGGGCGUAAAGAGCGCGCAGGCGGUCGUUCAAGUCGAGUGUGAAAGCCCCCGGCUCAACUGGGGAGGGUCAUUCGAUACUGAUCGACUGGAAGGCAGGAGAGGGAAGCGGAAUUCCCGGUGUAGUGGUGAAAUGCGUAGAUAUCAGGAGGAACACCUAUUGCGAAGGCAGCUCGCUGGGACGUAACUGACGCUGAGACGCGAAAGCGUGGGGAGCAAACAGG